Molecule: ribosomal RNA, 253 nt
Filed under: uncultured bacterium
Lineage: Bacteria
Description: partial 16S ribosomal RNA
Rfam family: Bacterial small subunit ribosomal RNA
Source: RNAcentral
UACAGAGGGGGCAAGCGUUGCUCGGAAUUACUGGGCGUAAAGGGCGCGUAGGCGGGAUGGCAAGUCGGUCGUGAAAUCCCUCGGCUCAACUGAGGAUCGUCGAUCGAUACUGCCGUUCUUGAGGAUUGCAGAGGAGACUGGAAUUCCCGGUGUAGCGGUGAAAUGUGUAGAGAUCGGGAGGAACACCGGUGGCGAAGGCGGGUCUCUGGGCAAUUCCUGACGCUGAGGCGCGAAAGCGUGGGGAGCAAACAGG